CAGCCCCUCGAGUGGUGGGGAUGAUUAUUUGGCCUAAAGCGUCCGUAGCCGGCCGGGUAAGUCUCCCGUUAAAUCCAUCGUCUCAAGCGUUGGACUGCGGGAGAUACUGCCUGGCUAGAGAGUGGGAGAGGUCAGCGGUAUUCUUGGGGUAGGGGCGAAAUCCUUUGAUCCCCGGAGGACCACCAGUAGCGAAGGCUGUUGACUAGAACACGUCUGACGGUCAGGGACGAAAGCUGGGGUAGCGAACCGGAUUAGAUACCCGAGUAGUCC
Molecule: ribosomal RNA, 270 nt
Filed under: uncultured archaeon
Lineage: Archaea
Description: partial 16S ribosomal RNA
Rfam family: Archaeal small subunit ribosomal RNA
Source: RNAcentral